This 82-nucleotide transfer RNA is filed under the name Candidatus Endolissoclinum sp. TMED37. RNAcentral describes it as "tRNA-Leu". It matches the Rfam family "tRNA". From Rfam's summary of the family: Transfer RNA (tRNA) molecules are approximately 80 nucleotides in length. Their secondary structure includes four short double-helical elements and three loops (D, anti-codon, and T loops). Further hydrogen bonds mediate the characteristic L-shaped molecular structure. tRNAs have two regions of fundamental functional importance: the anti-codon, which is responsible for specific mRNA codon recognition, and the 3' end, to which the tRNAs corresponding amino acid is attached (by aminoacyl-tRNA synthetases). tRNAs cope with the degeneracy of the genetic code in two manners: having more than one tRNA (with a specific anti-codon) for a particular amino acid; and 'wobble' base-pairing, i.e. permitting non-standard base-pairing at the 3rd anti-codon position. Lineage: Bacteria; Pseudomonadati; Pseudomonadota; Alphaproteobacteria; Rhodospirillales; Rhodospirillaceae. The record is from RNAcentral.
GGAUGGUUGCCCGAGUUGGUCUAAGGGGGCGGACUUAAGACCCGCUGUCAUUGACGCGUGGGUUCGAAUCCCACACCAUGCA